Molecule: ribosomal RNA, 720 nt
Filed under: uncultured fungus
Lineage: Eukaryota; Fungi
Description: SSU rRNA
Rfam family: Eukaryotic small subunit ribosomal RNA
Source: RNAcentral
CGGCGGUUCUAUUUUGUUGGUUUCUAGAGCCACCGUAAUGAUUAAUAGGGAUAGUCGGGGGCAUCAGUAUUCAAUUGUCAGAGGUGAAAUUCUUGGAUUUAUUGAAGACUAACUACUGCGAAAGCAUUUGCCAAGGAUGUUUUCAUUAAUCAGUGAACGAAAGUUAGGGGAUCGAAGACGAUCAGAUACCGUCGUAGUCUUAACCAUAAACUAUGCCGACUAGGGAUCGGGCGGUGCUCAACUUAUGACCCGCUCGGCACCUUACGAGAAAUCAAAGUUUUUGGGUUCUGGGGGGAGUAUGGUCGCAAGGCUGAAACUUAAAGGAAUUGACGGAAGGGCACCACCAGAUGUGGAGCCUGCGGCUUAAUUUGACUCAACACGGGGAAACUCACCAGGUCCAGACACAUUAAGGAUUGACAGAUUGAGAGCUCCUUCUUGAUUAUGUGGGUGGUGGUGCAUGGCCGUUCUUAGUUGGUGGAGUGAUUUGUCUGCUUAAUUGCGAUAACGAACGAGACCUUAACCUGCUAAAUAGCCAGGCUAGCUUUUGCUGGUCGCCGGCUUCUUAGAGGGACUAUCGGCUCAAGCCGAUGGAAGUUUGAGGCAAUAACAGGUCUGUGAUGCCCUUAGAUGUUCUGGGCCGCACGCGCGCUACACUGACAGAGCCAACGAGUAUAAACCUUAACCGAGAGGUUUGGGUAAUCUUGUUAAACUCUGUCGUGC